AUGAACGCUGGCGGCGUGCUUAACACAUGCAAGUCGAACGAAGCAUUUGCGACAGAUUUUUUCGGAAUGAAGUUGCUUAUGACUGAGUGGCGGACGGGUGAGUAACGCGUGGGUAACCUGCCUUGUACUGGGGGAUAGCAGCUGGAAACGGCUGGUAAUACCGCAUAAGCGCACAAUGUUGCAUGACAUGGUGUGAAAAACUCCGGUGGUAUAAGGUGGACCCGCGUCUGAUUAGCUAGUUGGUGAGAUAACAGCCCACCAAGGCGACGAUCAGUAGCCGACCUGAGAGGGUGACCGGCCACAUUGGGACUGAGACACGGCCCAGACUCCUACGGGAGGCAGCAGUGGGGAAUAUUGCACAAUGGAGGAAACUCUGAUGCAGCGACGCCGCGUGAGUGAAGAAGUAAUUCGUUAUGUAAAGCUCUAUCAGCAGGGAAGAUAGUGACGGUACCUGACUAAGAAGCUCCGGCUAAAUACGUG
Molecule: ribosomal RNA, 480 nt
Filed under: uncultured bacterium
Lineage: Bacteria
Description: partial 16S ribosomal RNA
Rfam family: Bacterial small subunit ribosomal RNA
Source: RNAcentral